GUCCACCGUCGCUCCUGACGUCGUGCCGGCAUCGCCGGACUCCGCCGAAGAAGCCUCACUGACGAGUGUUCCUUUUCCGGCCAUCUUGAGACGUCGCGUGCUGUCUGAUCUUCACAACCAAUGUCCUUUUCUUUAUUUGCAAAAUUCACCAGGGAGGUGGAGAAGAGCAAUAAUCUUGUCACUGUCUACAGAUGAAGCCAGGAAAAGCAUCGGCUGCGAAGAAGAUCGUUGGGGGCAUCAAGAAGGUGUCCUCCUUGGCUGCAAAGAAGGAGCGCCCUUUCUGAUUCAAAGAAGGACGAUGUGGAGAUUCGAGUUCAGACGAGGACCUGUCAGACGACAAGUUAUCGCCUAGCCGAUUCGUUCAAGAACUGAAGAUCGAGGAGCUCCAAAAGCAAGUCGAUGCCAUGAUAAGGGGGAUCAAGAACCUGCAAAAGACGGUAGUCGCCAUAUCUAAGGAGAUCCAGGAUCUGAAAAAGCAUGUCCAUGCCAACAUUGCCAAGAUUUAGAAGCCUUAGAAGCCAUGUCUAGCUUAAUUUAAUUUCCUUGUGGCUAUGUUCUUGCAGUUUCCGUAUACACUUAGUUCAAAGAACAUUGCACUCUCGGUGAGAUGGUGGCAUCAACGUAAUGCGCUUUAAAUUAUUUUUGCCAUCAAAUUGCCUGUGAUGUGUCCAGAUUAAUUAUGUUCAAUGUUUUAUUUA
Long non-coding RNA from Panicum virgatum (switchgrass), 698 nucleotides. RefSeq lists it as uncharacterized. The record is from RefSeq and is a predicted model, not a curated record. NCBI's taxonomy places the organism in Eukaryota, Viridiplantae, Streptophyta, Magnoliopsida, Poales, Poaceae. The transcript has 2 exons.